GCAUAUCAAUAAGCGGAGGAAAAGAAACCAACAGGGAUUGCCUCAGUAACGGCGAGUGAAGCGGCAACAGCUCAAAUUUGAAAUCUGGCCCGUCGGGGUCCGAGUUGUAAUUUGUAGAGGAUGUUUCGGGUACCGCCUCGGUUUAAAUUUCUUGGAACAGAAUGUCAGAGAGGGUGAGAAUCCCGUCUUGGACCGGCGGUAGGGCCUAUGUGAAACUCCUUCGACGAGUCGAGUUGUUUGGGAAUGCAGCUCAAAAUGGGUGGUAAAUUUCAUCUAAAGCUAAAUAUUGGCCAGAGACCGAUAGCGCACAAGUAGAGUGAUCGAAAGAUGAAAAGCACUUUGAAAAGAGAGUUAAACAGUAUGUGAAAUUGUUGAAAGGGAAGCGCUUGCAACCAGACUUGAGCGCGGCGGUUCCCCCCGGCUUCUGCCUGGGUUACUCCGCCGUGUCCAGGCCAACAUCGGUUCUGGGGGUCGGUCAAAGGCCCCGGAAAUGUACCUACCUACGGGUAGACUUAUAGACCGGGGUGUCAUGCGACCUCCCGGGACCGAGGAACGCGCUUCGGCUCGGAUGUUGGCGUAAUGGUUGUCAGCGACCCGUCUUGAAACACGGACC
This 613-nucleotide ribosomal RNA is filed under the name Cladophialophora emmonsii. RNAcentral describes it as "eukaryotic LSU rRNA". It matches the Rfam family "Eukaryotic large subunit ribosomal RNA", at positions 38 to 667 of the family's 3401-position model. The record is from RNAcentral. Lineage: Eukaryota; Fungi; Ascomycota; Eurotiomycetes; Chaetothyriales; Herpotrichiellaceae.